Molecule: long non-coding RNA, 1348 nt
Organism: Benincasa hispida (wax gourd)
Lineage: Eukaryota; Viridiplantae; Streptophyta; Magnoliopsida; Cucurbitales; Cucurbitaceae
Source: RefSeq, a predicted model, not a curated record
CAAAACCCUAAUUGUUUGGUUGGCCUUUCCGUCAUCGAGAAUCUCGUUACCUUCCAUGUCUAUUCAUUCAGCUCCUUCAUCUUCAUCAGCUCCUAUCAUGUCUAAUUGCCCUCGGUCUAGAGCAGGGUAUUCGAAUCUCAAAAAGCCCUCUCUAUCACUCGAUUGGAGUUAUUUGUGGGUGCUGUUGUUAGGAAUCGACUCGUUUUGGGGUGCAGAUUCCUUAUGAUGGCACUUAUCAAUGUUGUUCAGAUGAAACUGGGUACUUUGAGCUACGAUAGCUCUUAGACAUUUGUGGCAGUGGUUCCACUCUUGAUCUUGAAUCUGUUUGAUCUUGUGAUUUACAUCUUCCUUGCUUUUACACCUUUAUCAAUUAGACAUUCAGUGUUUCCCUGAAUAUACGAAGAUUCUAGAUUUCCAAAUAAUAAUAACAAUACUUCUCUACAUUGCAAAUUUUCGUAGAUCAAACUUUGCUUCAGAGCUUGAAGUUGCAGUCGCCAUGACAACAAAAAGCCCAAACUUUUGAGUGUGGAGUAGAUAACUUCAUUUGAUGUUUAUUGGUUUGAUCAUUUUCUAUAAAUAUUCAAUGUUCACUGCUUUGAUUGUUUUAGGUAAAUUUUCGCACUACUAUAUUUCUAAAUUGUUAUGUGGAUGCUAUUACUUGGUGUGAUUCAUUUUCCAGAAUGUAGUGCCAAUAUUGUGUACAAAUCUGGAAGGAAACUUGACAAAAGUAAGGUGAAUUUUAUGGAGGAGGAGCUUCUUAAGCCUAUGGACUACCAGUAUCACAUUUGUAAUAUGUUUGUUAUUGCUCAUAUUGAUCAUGGUAAGAUGUUUAUCUUUAAAUUGUAUUCGUUUAUGAGUUGGCUUCUUGAUUGAUUUUUGUUAUGUUCAUCAUGUAUAUUAUGUCCAUCAUGAUUUUUGUUAUUGAAAAGAAUUGAUUUCUUUCAGCUUGAAGUAAUUCUUACUUAAUUUAGUUUACUAAGUUUGCUUAAUUUAGUUCUAUGUGUUUACAAGUGUUAAUGUUAAGUUUCAUUACUUUUGAGAGAUGUUGGGAUUGUUUUAAUCUUGAGUUGGAGAUUUUGAAACUUGUAAAAGGAGUAUUUAGUGGGCAUUCAUUUAGUUUGCAUUUUGUGUACCACUUCAUCUCUCAGUUUUUAUGUACGAACAAUUUGGUCAAUUUUAUAUAAUCCGUAUGAUAAUUACACGAGUUUUCUUCUAAUUUCUUUGUUACAGCCUCUUUGAUAAGGUUUUUAAUUAAAUUUAGUUUUUUAUUCAAUAUUCACUCUCUAGUUGAAAGAAUAUUUUUUUUUUAUUUGCAAUUUUUUAUUCAAUAUCCAGUCGGUGAUGUCUU